AUCGAACGCUGGCGGCAGGCUUAACACAUGCAAGUCGAGCGAGCGGCGGACGGGUGAGUAACGUCUGGGAAAUUGCCUGAUGGUGGGGGAUAACUUCUGGAAACGGUAGCUCAUACCGCAUACCAUCAGAUGUGCCCAGAUGGGAUUAGCUAGUAGGUGGGGUAAUGGCUCACCUAGGCGACGAUACCUAGCUGGUCUGAUAGGAUGACCAGCCACACUGGAACUGAGACACGGUCCAGACUCCUACGGGAGGCAGCAGUGGGGAAUAUUGCACAAUGGGCGCAAGCCUGAUGCAGCCAUGCCGCGUGUGUGAAGAAGGCCUUCGGGUUGUAAAGCACUUUCAGCGAGGAGGCGUUACUCGCAGAAGAAGCACCGGCUAACUCCGUGCCAGCCGCCGCGGUAAUUC
RNAcentral lists this ribosomal RNA (406 nucleotides) under uncultured bacterium. Its description in RNAcentral is "partial 16S ribosomal RNA". It matches the Rfam family "Bacterial small subunit ribosomal RNA", at positions 30 to 526 of the family's 1533-position model. The record is from RNAcentral.